UUCCACUUUCUUGACAAAUUUGUGCAAAAUGUUUUUAGGUACUCAACCUAUUGAUGCACAUGAACAUGAUGACUCUCUAGCGUUUAUGGACCAACCAACCUGUAAUCAUGGACCUUAUUGUCUUGUAGACCACUUGGUGUUUCGAGUGAUUUGGAGCUUGCACUUUGUGCAUGUAGAUACAAACUUGUGUGUUCUGGACCAUCUAAAGUCUCUGAUGGUAACCAAUAGUCCUUAUCUUUUUGUGACUUGUGUGUUCUAGAUGAUUGUUAAGAUUGUCAAAACUAUGCUUCCUCUAGGUUAAUUUGUUUGUCAACUUAUGUUCAAUGUAUGUGCAUGUUUAUAAACAUAUUUUCAUUGUGGUGUAAUAUGUGUUUAUCUUGAACCUUCUUGUGGGUGUGAGGAUAAUAAUUGAAUAUUUU
RNAcentral lists this long non-coding RNA (419 nucleotides) under Hordeum vulgare. RNAcentral describes it as "long non-coding RNA (HVUL_LNC000665)". Lineage: Eukaryota; Viridiplantae; Streptophyta; Magnoliopsida; Poales; Poaceae. The record is from RNAcentral.